This 1544-nucleotide ribosomal RNA is filed under the name endosymbiont of Naegleria clarki. RNAcentral describes it as "bacterial SSU rRNA". It matches the Rfam family "Bacterial small subunit ribosomal RNA". The record is from RNAcentral.
AGAAUUUGAUCUUGGUUCAGACUGAACGCUAACGGCGUGGAUGAGACAUGCAAGUCGAACGAAAUGUAAGGGCAACUUUACAUUUAGUGGCGAAAGGGUUAGUAAGACGUGAGUAAUCUACCUUUUACCUCGGAAUAACGAUUGGAAACGAUCGCUAAUACCGGAUGAGGUAUUCAUUCAAAAGAGUGAAUAUCAAAGUAGGGGACCUUGAAAGAGGCCUGGCGGUAAGAGAAGAGCUCAUGUAGUAUCAGCUAGUUGGUGAGGUAAGAGCUCACCAAGGCUAUGACGCUUAGGCGGAUUGAGAGAUUGACCGCCAACACUGGGACUGAGACACUGCCCAGACUCCUACGGGAGGCAGCAGUCGAGAAUAUUUCGCAAUGGGCGAAAGCCUGACGAAGCGACGCCGUGUGAACGAUGAAGGCCUUCGGGUUGUAAAGUUCUGUUGCCUGAGAACAAGAGUAGAUAAUGAAUAAUUAUGUACAAUGAGUGUAUCAGGAGAGAAAGCACCGGCUAAUUCCGUGCCAGCAGCUGCGGUAAUACGGAAGGUGCAAGCGUUAGUCGGAAUUACUGGGCGUAAAGGGUGCGUAGGCGGAAACAAACGUCAGAUGUGAAAUUACGGGGCUCAACCUCGUAGCUGCAUCUGAAACGGCGUUUCUUGAGGAUUGGUGGAGAGAAUAGAAUUCCAUGUGUAGCGGUGAAAUGCGUAGAUAUAUGGAAGAAUACCUGUGGCGAAAGCGAUUCUCUAACCUUCUCCUGGCGCUGAGGCACGAGAGCAAGGGGAGCAAACAGGAUUAGAUACCCUGGUAGUCCUUGCCGUAAACAAUGAACACUUGAUGUAGAUGGGCUCAACCCCAUUUGUGUCGUAGCUAACGCGAUAAGUGUUCCGCCUGGGGAGUACGCCCGCAAGGGUGAAACUCAAAAGAAUUGACGGGGACCCGCACAAGCAGUGGAGCAUGUGGUUUAAUUCGAUGCAACGCGAAGAACCUUACCUGGGCUUGACAUGGACAGGACGACAUCAGAGAUGGUGUUUCUCCGCAAGGAGCCUGUUCACAGGUGCUGCAUGGCUGUCGUCAGCUCGUGCCGUGAGGUGUUGGGUUAAGUCCCGCAGAUGACGCAACCCUUGUCGUUAGUUGCCAGCGCGUAAUGGCGGGCACUCUAGCGAGACUGCCUCGGUUAACGAGGAGGAAGGUGAGGAUGACGUCAAGUCAGCAUGGCCCUUAUGCCCAGGGCUACACACGUGCUACAAUGGUCGGUACAAAAGGCAGCGAAGUCGUGAGAUGGAGCAAAUCCCAAAAACCGGCCCCAGUUCAGAUUGUAGUCUGCAACUCGACUACAUGAAGUUGGAAUUGCUAGUAAUGGCGAGUCAGCAACAUCGCCGUGAAUACGUUCCCGGGUCUUGUACACACCGCCCGUCAAGUCACGGGAGUUGGUUUUGCCCGAAGUCGUUCACCCAACCGCAAGGAGGGAGACGCCUAAGGUGAGGCUGAUGACUGGGACUAAGUCGUAACAAGGUAGCCCUACUGGAAAGUGGGGCUGGAUCACCU